UAGGGAAUCUUCGGCAAUGGACGAAAGUCUGACCGAGCAACGCCGCGUGAGUGAAGAAGGCUUUCGGAUCGUAAAACUCUGUUGGUAGAGAAGAACGUUGGUGAGAGUGGAAAGCUCAUCAAGUGACGGUAACUACCCAGAAAGGGACGGCUAACUACGUGCCUG
RNAcentral lists this ribosomal RNA (165 nucleotides) under uncultured bacterium. RNAcentral's name for it is "partial 16S rRNA". It matches the Rfam family "Bacterial small subunit ribosomal RNA", at positions 355 to 511 of the family's 1533-position model. The record is from RNAcentral.